GAUCGUCAACAUGCUAGCUUCGUAUCAACGGCAUUUUAGACAUUCACCAUAUGGCUAUUGUAGGUUUGCCUUACUUGUUAAUUGCAGCUUUACUCCAGGUGGCUUUUGCUCCAUAUCGACAGCGUAGAUCUAGAAAUUUGCCUUGGUUUUUUUCACCUCUUCUUUUGAUCGGAUAUCUCUGUCAAUUUGUAAAAAAAAAAAAUCUACAAUACCAUAAGCUUUGAGAAAUUUGAACCACUUGAAGUCGAGGUAGGAAUUUUUGGUCUGUUGUCAGCUUCAUUGGGAAGCGUUUUGGCAUUGUCUUUAUCAGUUGAUUUGCUCUGACCCGAACCACUUGAACCAUCGUUUGACGCAGACAUGUUGAAAUCACUGGUUAUCGAUUGGAAUUAGUCGAAUUUCAGAUUACAAAAGAAAAUUGCACAUGCAAACGCUUUAAUUUACAGUUAUUUUUCCCGUCAUUGAUGAAGAAUGGAGUAUUAAUUUUUGGGUAUUUCCAGAAAGAGUAAUCACAUUCACUUUGACUAAUAUUUCUUUAAUUUCUAUGAUGAAAGAGCUCCCAGUUUUCAUCGUAAAGAGUUCAAAGCCUCCCAUCUUUUAAUUUUUUUGCUAAUUCUUCUCUCUACAAUGCUAUUUCUUCAGCUAUUAUUUUAGAGGGGUUUGUUUUUGUUUUGGGGUUAGAUAGUAUUCUGUUUCUUGACAACUGAAAAUUCCUACUUGCAGAUGAAAAAUCUCUACUAAAUGGCAACAUAAUCUUAACCAUCUCAAAGCUAUCUAAAUACCUUCAUUCAGAUUAGAAACUUAAUACAAUGUAGUCAAAUUUGAUGCAAGAAAACUCACUCGAGGGUCGAUAUUUUGUGCAUAAAAUUGAGAGAAUAGGAUAGGAAGAUAUGUUCUAGAUUUAGUGAAUUAGUCUUGACACUAACAUCUUCCUCCUGAUAGAAGAGGAGCAAAGGUAAGUGAUAUUAUGAACUCGAUACUAAGAAGUGAAUGAUGGCAUAUCUUUGGCAUCUAUUUCUUAAAUUACUGAUUGUGGAAUACAUGUCAGCUUUUGGUCUUGCAAUCUUGGCCACACAAGCCUGAAGUUUGAAUUCCAAGUUCAAACUGAGGACAAACAGACUUGAAAUUUUGACUCAACAAUUCAACAUGCCUUAAGGUUCAAUUACACAUUUUAAACUUUAGGAUAUAUAUCCUGCUUAUUGUAGGUAUUUGAAGUUCAAUUCUGUGUCAAAAAUGACUUAAAAUUCUGUGAUAUAUAAUUAUGACGUAAGGACAAAAUCUCUUAAUCUUGAUAACUAUUUAAUUAUCUUCGAAGCAGCAAUAGAAAGGAAUAUAAGAAUAUAACAUUGGUUUGUGAAUUGUGACAGAUUGAUAGAUUAUAUUGUGACAGAAAGGAGUAUAUUGCAUAUUUACAUGGCUUGAAGGUGCUGUAGUGAUGUUUCCCCAAUAAAGUGUUUCAUCUUUCUUCUGAUUCCAACAUCUGCGUUCUGUCAGCAAUCAGUUUUCCAGGGAACCCGCAACCGCUACCCUUCGAGUGCACCCACGGCCUCCUGUUCUUUCUUCCCAAUCCCUUACAGCAAGUCUCCGAUUUUUCAGAUGAUGUAUAUGUAAAAAGUAAUCUGCAUGCGUCCUUUAUUUACUUCGUUGCCAGUUUCAAUACAUGGAGUUUUCAGUUCUGCAACGGAGAAGAAUCACACGACUGCAUUGCAGGAAUAAAGUUCACCUAGAGGAUAUGACCAUCAAGCUAAUCAGUGCAAGGAGCAGGAUGAGCUAAUUGCUGCGGAACAAUGACCACGUUAUGCAAGGGUAGAGAUUAACCAGGCUGUAUCAGGUGAGAGAAGUCGCCAACAUACAUUCAAGUAUGUAGCACUCUCUAUUCUGGACAUUCUUAGCCUUGAGGUAAUCUUUCACAACAUAAACUCUGCAACUUGAAAGGUCUUACCAAGGCAAUAAGGACAUUAAAACAGUCACCAAGAUACUGCUCUUAAAAGGGUGCAAAGGAUGUUCCAACUGGAAAUUUUGAGAACAAGGAGUUGAAAAGAAAAAUAAUAUUAGAAAUUACGUGUGUAGAAAGCAGUUAACUCUUGAAGUUAGGACAUUGUCCUGAAGUUGUGGUUGGGUAUGAAAGACGCGCUCAGUUCUUCUCUAAUUUUUUUCCUGAGUCGCCGAGUGCUUGAACAUAUAGUAUCAUUUUCCCAUUGGUUUUGUUUAAAGGGUUUGAGAUUCUUUUCUUGCAGGAUAAAUGGUUAGAUUUGCUUGCAGGUACGUGAAUUUUCGCUGUUGUAAGUGGAAUAACGAAACUGAAAUAGCGUCAAAUAAGUUCUAAAGUAGGUGCUAUAACAUAUUGAUAUUUGGUUUGUAGGGCAGAUGGUAAUUGUUUGGGCCAGUAGGUGGUCUUGGUAUGAGGAGGCAAUUGAUAUGAUGUGUGAAUUUGUAGUUUGAGAAUUAUUUCAGAUAUUGCGACCAGUGGCGUAUGUAGCGUUCGAGGUGGGGGUUCAAUUGAACCCCUAACUUUCAACGGGGAGCAUAGAUUUGUGUGUAAAAAUUUAUUAAAAUUACAAUAAAUAGUAGACAUAAACCCAUAACUUUUAAAAUACCAACUAAGAAUACUGAAAGACUGAACCCAUAAAGUUUAAAUCUUGAAUCCGCCUCUAAUUACGACUUAUUAUCAAUUACACAUACAGCUGCCCUCUACUAAAUAGUUCAACUAUAUGUGAUAUAUAAGAAGCUACAUAAAAGACCAUCAAUUCUUGGCAACUUCCUGAUAACUGGUUCUAGAACAUUGUUACUGCUUUGUUUUGCAGUAACCAAUAAACAUGUGGUAGGAUUUGAACUUUGGAGUUGACCUUUUGGCCAGUUGUGUUGUUGUAUGGUAACUUUGUGAAAACUAGAGUAGUACUAACUGUACUGUAGAUGAAACAAGGAGGUAAGAUCAUCUUCAAAGUCAAUGUUAGCUUUAGUGGUCAUGAGUUCUUGACUGAACUAAUCAAACAAUGUACACUUUUCUAUUGUUUUUAUCCUUGAAUAUUUUAUUUGCUUUUAUAUUUAUGCAGCUUUGACAGUAAAGUUUCAUUUUAAUUUUUCAACGGUUAAAUUUAUAUCCUAUUUAUGAAUAUUAGAAUUCUUUCCCCUCCGCGAAGAGCAUUUUUUCAUUUCUAUGUUUUUCUUCAUCCUCCUCCCAGGUUAUUAUGCAGAAUCUCUAUAGAUUAUAGCACUCGAAACUUAAAAUAUGAGUUAUUGUUGUUUAUUUAUAUAAUAUGACAUCUGUUUGUGUCAUUUCGUUAUCAUGAAUUCUUGAUUGUGCUAAUUGAUUCUGCAGUUGAUUGAUCUGGUUGUAAUUAUAUCGACUUUGUGGUGUUUUCUGGAUGAUGAUUAAAGAAGAAAGAGAGCAAAAAAAGAGCCACGAGAAAAGAACCAUGAACACUUUGAAAGUUAUGCUAUGGAAUAAGCAGAAGAACGACAAAGAGUACUGCAAUGAACAAUCUGAAAACAGUAGUGGAUAAACACUUCAUUGACAGGCGAGUGAGACACAAAAUGAGGAAUGCCAGAAUAGUGGUGAUAUGCAUUCUUCUACUGAUAGGAUAAGAGAGCAAAGGCACAAGAGAAUACUGGGAAACAAGAUAUGUUGCUCCCGACUAGCCUCAAUACUGCUAACGGACAAAAUAAAGGUGGCAUGAUUAUGGUAGACUUGGGUUCCAUAUAAGUUAUACUUAACACCGGACUGAACCAAAGGCAUGACCCUGACAUCCAAAAUGUCAUUGAACAACUGGUGGAGGAGAGUGAUGAGGUCAGUGUUUCAAUGGAGCAUAUUACAUAUACAGAUGAAGAUGAAAAGGUAGCAGACAGUGUGGUAUAAACAUUUGCACUCACCUCCAUUGAAGAUGAUUUAAGGUGCAGUUCGGUUCAUUGAAGUCUAUUUUUAUCAUCACCUAUUGGGGGAUAAGAAUUUUGGAUGUUUAAAAUACAGGAAUAACCACUGUCUAAUCCCUUACAUGAUUUGGGACAUCAUGUUAUUCGAAAACAUCAAAGUAAAUCCAAAAUGAACUUACCAUAUGAUAUCUUUUGCGGCAACGCUACAUUUGCUAAAAUAAAUCGAGAAGAGACAUGCUUGUGAUAAUAGUUUGGUAUAAACAUUUGCACUCACCUCCAUUGAAGAUGA
Lycium barbarum (goji berry) is the source of this 4156-nucleotide RNA transcript. RefSeq lists it as uncharacterized. The transcript has 7 exons. Lineage: Eukaryota; Viridiplantae; Streptophyta; Magnoliopsida; Solanales; Solanaceae. The record is from RefSeq and is a predicted model, not a curated record.